Molecule: long non-coding RNA, 262 nt
Filed under: Homo sapiens (human)
Lineage: Eukaryota; Metazoa; Chordata; Mammalia; Primates; Hominidae
Description: HSALNT0070836
Source: RNAcentral
AUCAAGAUGUCUGACUAGAGGCAUUCAAAACUAGCCUCUUCCACGAUGUACAACUGAAACAACAAAUAGAUAAUAACUACAUGACAAAUAAUGUAUCUAAGAGAGAAACUGGAAUUCAGCAAGGAAGUGAUGAAGACCCUUUGAUGCACAGAAACUCAGGAUGGCAGUGCAGAGAAAGAGGGGAGUGGGACUGGUGGUUUUCCAAGAAGACGAAGAGAGACCUGAGAUAGCACACCCAGCCCCCUUGCCAUGUGAGGCCAUG